Picea glauca (white spruce) is the source of this 123-nucleotide non-coding RNA. Lineage: Eukaryota; Viridiplantae; Streptophyta; Pinopsida; Pinales; Pinaceae. The record is from Rfam.
AUGUACAUUCCUACAACAUAGAGUUAAUGCAAUGUAUCCCAUUAGAACUCCACAGUUAAGUGCACUCAGGCUAGAGUAGUACUAGGAUGGGUGGUUGCUCGGGAAGUCCUAGUGUUUUACAUG